CGCGGCCUAUCAGCUUGUUGGUGGGGUGAUGGCCUACCAAGGCGACGACGGGUAGCCGGCCUGAGAGGGCGACCGGCCACACUGGGACUGAGACACGGCCCAGACUCCUACGGGAGGCAGCAGUGGGGAAUAUUGCACAAUGGGCGGAAGCCUGAUGCAGCGACGCCGCGUGAGGGAUGAAGGCCUUCGGGUUGUAAACCUCUUUCGACAGGGACGAAGCGCAAGUGACGGUACCUGGAGAAGAAGCGCCGGCCAACUACGUGCCAGCAGCCGCGGUAAGACGUAGGGCGCGAGCGUUGUCCGGAUUUAUUGGGCGUAAAGAGCUCGUAGGCGGCUUGUUGCGUCAGCUGUGAAAACCCGCAGCUCAACUGUGGGCUUGCAGCUGAUACGGGCAGGCUUGAGUUCGGUAGGGGAGACUGGAAUUCCUGGUGUAGCGGUGAAAUGCGCAGAUAUCAGGAGGAACACCGGUGGCGAAGGCGGGUCUCUGGGCCGAUACUGACGCUGAGGAGCGAAAGCGUGGGGAGCGAACAGGAUUAGAUACCCUGGUAGUCCACGCUGUAAACGUUGGGCGCUAGGUGUGGGGGGCCUCUCCGGUUCUCUGUGCCGCAGCUAACGCAUUAAGCGCCCCGCCUGGGGAGUACGG
Molecule: ribosomal RNA, 643 nt
Filed under: uncultured Actinomycetes bacterium
Lineage: Bacteria; Bacillati; Actinomycetota; Actinomycetes
Description: bacterial SSU rRNA
Rfam family: Bacterial small subunit ribosomal RNA
Source: RNAcentral